GAAACCCAGUGNNAUNCGUCNCACUAUCGUUAACUGAAUACAUAGGUUAACGAGGCGAACCGGGGGAACUGAAACAUCUAAGUACCCCGAGGAAAAGAAAUCAACCGAGAUUCCCCCAGUAGCGGCGAGCGAACGGGGAGCAGCCCGGAGUCUGAAUCAGCUUGUGUGUUAGUGGAAGCGUCUGGAAAGUCGCACGGUACAGGGUGACAGUCCCGUACACGAAAGCACACAGGUUGUGAACUCGAAGAGUAGGGCGGGACACGUGGUAUCCUGUCUGAAUAUGGGGGGACCAUCCUCCAAGGCUAAAUACUCCUGACUGACCGAUAGUGAACCAGUACCGUGAGGGAAAGGCGAAAAGAACCCCGGCGAGGGGAGUGAAAAAGAACCUGAAACCGUGUACGUACAAGCAGUGGGAGCACCUUCGGGUGUGACUGCGUACCUUUUGUAUAAUGGGUCAGCGACUUAUAUUCUGUAGCAAGGUUAACCGUAUAGGGGAGCCGCAGGGAAACCGAGUCUUAACUGGGCGUUAAGUUGCAGGGUAUAGACCCGAAACCCGGUGAUCUAGCCAUGGGCAGGUUGAAGGUUGGGUAACACUAACUGGAGGACCGAACCGACUAAUGUUGAAAAAUUAGCGGAUGACCUGUGGCUGGGGGUGAAAGGCCAAUCAAACCGGGAGAUAGCUGGUUCUCCCCGAAAGCUAUUUAGGUAGCGCCUCGUGAACUCAUCUUCGGGGGUAGAGCACUGUUUCGGCUAGGGGGCCAUCCCGGCUUACCAACCCGAUGCAAACUACGAAUACCGAAGAAUGUUAUCACGGGAGACACACGGCGGGUGCUAACGUCCGUCGUGAAGAGGGAAACAACCCAGACCGCCAGCUAAGGUCCCAAAGUCAUGGUUAAGUGGGAAACGAUGUGGGAAGGCACAGACAGCCAGGAUGUUGGCUUAGAAGCAGCCAUCAUUUAAAGAAAGCGUAAUAGCUCACUGGUCGAGUCGGCCUGCGCGGAAGAUGUAACGGGGCUAAACCAUGCACCGAAGCUGCGGCAGCGACGCUUAUGCGUUGUUGGGUAGGGGAGCGUUCUGUAAGCCGUUGAAGGUGGCCUGUGAGGGUUGCUGGAGGUAUCAGAAGUGCGAAUGCUGACAUAAGUAACGAUAAAGCGGGUGAAAAGCCCGCUCGCCGGAAGACCAAGGGUUCCUGUCCAACGUUAAUCGGGGCAGGGUGAGUCGACCCCUAAGGCGAGGCCGAAAGGCGUAGUCGAUGGGAAACAGGUUAAUAUUCCUGUACUUGGUGUUACUGCGAAGGGGGGACGGAGAAGGCUAUGUCAGCCGGGCGACGGUUGUCCCGGUUUAAGCGUGUAGGUGUGUGUUCCAGGCAAAUCCGGUUCACUUUAACACUGAGGCGUGAUGACGAGGCACUACGGUGCUGAAGUGAUAAAUGCCCUGCUUCCAGGAAAAGCCUCUAAGCAUCAGGUAACACGAAAUCGUACCCCAAACCGACACAGGUGGUCAGGUAGAGAAUACCAAGGCGCUUGAGAGAACUCGGGUGAAGGAACUAGGCAAAAUGGUGCCGUAACUUCGGGAGAAGGCACGCUGAUAUGUAGGUGAAGUCCCUGCGGACGGAGCUGAAAUCAGUCGAAGAUACCAGCUGGCUGCAACUGUUUAUUAAAAACACAGCACUGUGCAAACACGAAAGUGGACGUAUACGGUGUGACGCCUGCCCGGUGCCGGAAGGUUAAUUGAUGGGGUUAGCGGCAACGCGAAGCUCUUGAUCGAAGCCCCGGUAAACGGCGGCCGUAACUAUAACGGUCCUAAGGUAGCGAAAUUCCUUGUCGGGUAAGUUCCGACCUGCACGAAUGGCGUAAUGAUGGCCAGGCUGUCUCCACCCGAGACUCAGUGAAAUUGAACUCGCUGUGAAGAUGCAGUGUACCCGCGGCAAGACGGAAAGACCCCGUGAACCUUUACUAUAGCUUGACACUGAACACUGGUCCUUGAUGUGUAGGAUAGGUGGGAGGCUUUGAAGCGUGGACGCCAGUCUGCGUGGAGCCGUCCUUGAAAUACCACCCUUUAAUGGCUGGUGUUCUAACGUGGACCCGUNAUCCGGGUUGCGGACAGUGUCUGGUGGGUAGUUUGACUGGGGCGGUCUCCUCCCAAAGAGUAACGGAGGAGCACGAAGGUUAGCUAAUCCUGGUCGGACAUCAGGAGGUUAGUGCAAUGGCAUAAGCUAGCUUGACUGCGAGAGUGACGGCUCGAGCAGGUGCGAAAGCAGGUCAUAGUGAUCCGGUGGUUCUGAAUGGAAGGGCCAUCGCUCAACGGAUAAAAGGUACUCCGGGGAUAACAGGCUGAUACCGCCCAAGAGUUCAUAUCGACGGCGGUGUUUGGCACCUCGAUGUCGGCUCAUCACAUCCUGGGGCUGAAGUAGGUCCCAAGGGUAUGGCUGUUCGCCAUUUAAAGUGGUACGCGAGCUGGGUUUAGAACGUCGUGAGACAGUUCGGUCCCUAUCUGCCGUGGGCGCUGGAGAAUUGAGGGGGGCUGCUCCUAGUACGAGAGGACCGGAGUGGACGCAUCACUGGUGUUCGGGUUGUCAUGCCAAUGGCACUGCCCGGUAGCUAAAUGCGGAAGAGAUAAGUGCUGAAAGCAUCUAAGCACGAAACUUGCCCCGAGAUGAGUUCUCCCUGAGACUUUAAGUCUCCUGAAGGAACGUUGAAGACGACGACGUUGAUAGGCCGGGUGUGUAAGCGCAGCGAUGCGUUGAGCUAACCGGUACUAAUGAACCGUGAGGCUUAACC
This 2780-nucleotide ribosomal RNA is filed under the name Enterobacter cloacae IIT-BT 08. RNAcentral describes it as "bacterial LSU rRNA". It matches the Rfam family "Bacterial large subunit ribosomal RNA". The record is from RNAcentral. Lineage: Bacteria; Pseudomonadati; Pseudomonadota; Gammaproteobacteria; Enterobacterales; Enterobacteriaceae.